RNAcentral lists this ribosomal RNA (467 nucleotides) under uncultured Enterobacteriaceae bacterium. Its description in RNAcentral is "bacterial SSU rRNA". It matches the Rfam family "Bacterial small subunit ribosomal RNA", at positions 916 to 1381 of the family's 1533-position model. Lineage: Bacteria; Pseudomonadati; Pseudomonadota; Gammaproteobacteria; Enterobacterales; Enterobacteriaceae. The record is from RNAcentral.
ACGGGGCCCGCACAAGCGGUGGAGCAUGUGGUUUAAUUCGAUGCAACGCGAAGAACCUUACCUGGUCUUGACAUCCACAGAACUUUCCAGAGAUGGAUUGGUGCCUUCGGGAACUGUGAGACAGGUGCUGCAUGGCUGUCGUCAGCUCGUGUUGUGAAAUGUUGGGUUAAGUCCCGCAACGAGCGCAACCCUUAUCCUUUGUUGCCAGCGGUCCGGCCGGGAACUCAAAGGAGACUGCCAGUGAUAAACUGGAGGAAGGUGGGAUGACGUCAAGUCAUCAUGGCCCUUACGACCAGGGCUACACACGUGCUACAAUGGCGCAUACAAAGAGAAGCGACCUCGCGAGAGCAAGCGGACCUCAUAAAGUGCGUCGUAGUCCGGAUUGGAGUCUGCAACUCGACUCCAUGAAGUCGGAAUCGCUAGUAAUCGUGGAUCAGAAUGCCACGGUGAAUACGUUCCCGGGCCUU